AGAGUUUGAUCAUGGCUCAGAUUGAACGCUGGCGGCAUGCCUUACACAUGCAAGUCGAACGCGAAAGGGGGUAACCCCGAGUAGAGUGGCGAACGGGUGAGCAAUACAUCGGAACAUUUCCUGUAGCGGGGGACAACCCCGAGAAAUCGGGGCUAAUACCGCAUACGAUCUACGGAUGAAAGUGGGGGACCGCAAGGCCCCACACUAUAGGAGUGGCCGAUGCCGGAUUAGCUAGUUGGUGAGGUAACGGCCCACCAAGGCGACGAUCCGUAGCUGGUUUGAGAGAACGACCAGCCACACUGGGACUGAGACACGGCCCAGACUCCUACGGGAGGCAGCAGUGGGGAAUUUUGGACAAUGGGCGAAAGCCUGAUCCAGCCAUGCCGCGUGAGUGAAGAAGGCCUUCGGGUUGUAAAGCUCUUUCGGCGGGGACGAAAUAGCGCGGGGUAAUAUCCCGCGUCGAUGACGGUACCCGAAGAAGAAGGACCGGCUAACUACGUGCCAGCAGCCGCGGUAAUACGUAGGGUCCAAGCGUUAAUCGGAAUUACUGGGCGUAAAGCGUGCGUAGGCGGUCUCGCAAGUCCGAUGUGAAAUCCCCGGGCUUAACCUGGGAACUGCGUUGGAAACUACGAGGCUAGAGUGCGGCAGAGGGGGGUGGAAUUCCAGGUGUAGCAGUGAAAUGCGUAGAGAUCUGGAGGAACACCGAUGGCGAAGGCAGCCCCCUGGGUUAGCACUGACGCUCAUACACGAAAGCGUGGGGAGCAAACAGGAUUAGAUACCCUAGUAGUCC
This 790-nucleotide ribosomal RNA is filed under the name uncultured bacterium. RNAcentral describes it as "bacterial SSU rRNA". It matches the Rfam family "Bacterial small subunit ribosomal RNA", at positions 8 to 796 of the family's 1533-position model. The record is from RNAcentral.